GACGAACGCUGGCGGCAUGCCUAACACAUGCAAGUCGAGCGAGUAGAUCCCUUCGGGGUGAAGCUAGCGGCGGACGGGUGAGUAACACGUGGGCAACCUGCCUCAUAGAGGGGAAUAGCCUUCCGAAAGGAAGAUUAAUACCGCAUAAGAUUGUAGCUUCGCAUGAAGCAGCAAUUAAAGGAGCAAUCCGCUAUGAGAUGGGCCCGCGGCGCAUUAGCUAGUUGGGGAGGUAACGGCUCACCAAGGCGACGAUGCGUAGCCGACCUGAGAGGGUGAUCGGCCACAUUGGGACUGAGACACGGCCCAGACUCCUACGGGAGGCAGCAGUGGGGAAUAUUGCACAAUGGGGGAAACCCUGAUGCAGCAAUGCCGCGUGAGUGAUGACGGCCUUCGGGUUGUAAAGCUCUGUCUUCGGGGACGAUAAUGACGGUACCCGAGGAGGAAGCCACGGCUAACUACGUGCCAGCCGCCGCCGUAA
Molecule: ribosomal RNA, 478 nt
Filed under: uncultured bacterium
Lineage: Bacteria
Description: partial 16S ribosomal RNA
Rfam family: Bacterial small subunit ribosomal RNA
Source: RNAcentral